GUUUUGAACGCCCCCUAUAUAAGGGGAAAUUGUCCAAUUUUAAUAAAAAGUAUGUCAAAUGAAAGAUGUACUUAUAAUGUAUUUAGAAAAAAAAAAUUUGUGCUGAUAUAUACAUUUUUCAAAAAGUUAUAGCAUUUUUAAGUUGAAAAUUUAAAAUCGAAAAUCGAAAAUUUUAACACAAAAAUAGUGUUUUUUUAACUACGGCAGCCGUUUAAAUGUAGAAAAAAAAUUGUCGGGACAAAUUUUUUUUUUUUCAUUUUAUAGUACAUAAAAUAAGCUUUAAUUUGAUAUAUGUUUGAAGGACGCAGUAUUUCCGGAACAUUUUCAAAAGUUCAGUUGAAAAAGAUCUAUGUUUUUUACAAUAUUUUAAGUUUUGAACGCCCCCUAUAUAAGGGGAAAUUGUCCAAUUUUAAUAAAAAGACGCAGUCUUUCCGGAACAUUUUCAAAAAUUAAGUUGAAAAAAUUAAUUUUUGUAAAAAAGUUGCCAUUUUAAAUCCCCCCCAAUGAGCAGGUUAAGUGAUAGAUUUUCAAAAAAAUGAUAUCAAAUGAAAGGUAAAUAUCUAAGGUUUUAGUAUAAAAAAAAAUUAUGUUGAUUUGUUGAUUUUUCAAAAAGUUAUGGAAGUUUUAAGAAAAAAAAGUGAAAAAAUUUCGAAAAUUAGCGAUUUUUAAAUUUGUAAUUUUUUUGGAUAUUUCCCCCAUUUGCGGGGAACGAGGGAAUUUUUUUCAAUUUUUAAGGGUAAUGUCUUCAACUAGAUACGAUUUGUGAUCUUUUGACGUAUUUUUGAAAGAAAUCGGUCCAGUGAGAGCUGAGAAAAAGUGGCAACAGACAUAAAAAAAAAAAAAACACAUCAUAGUAAAAUUAAUACCUUCUCCGCUU
Molecule: long non-coding RNA, 877 nt
Organism: Daktulosphaira vitifoliae (grape phylloxera)
Lineage: Eukaryota; Metazoa; Arthropoda; Insecta; Hemiptera; Phylloxeridae
Exons: 2
Source: RefSeq, a predicted model, not a curated record